AUUGAACGCUGGCGGCAUGCCUUACACAUGCAAGUCGAACGGUAACGGGCCUUCGGGUGCCGACGAGUGGCGAACGGGUGAGUAAUACAUCGGAACGUGCCCGAUCGUGGGGGAUAACGAGGCGAAAGCUUUGCUAAUACCGCAUACGAUCUACGGAUGAAAGCAGGGGACCGCAAGGCCUUGCGCGGACGGAGCGGCCGAUGGCAGAUUAGGUAGUUGGUGGGAUAAAAGCUUACCAAGCCGACGAUCUGUAGCUGGUCUGAGAGGAUGAUCAGCCACACUGGGACUGAGACACGGCCCAGACUCCUACGGGAGGCAGCAGUGGGGAUUUUUGGACAAAGGGCGCAAGCCUGAUCCAGCCAUGCCGCGUGCAGGAUGAAGGCCUUCGGGUUGUAAACUGCUUUUGUACGGAACGAAAAGCCUUCUUUUAAUACAGGAGGGUCAUGACGGUACCGUAAGAAUAAGCACCGGCUAACUACGUG
This 482-nucleotide ribosomal RNA is filed under the name uncultured bacterium. RNAcentral describes it as "partial 16S ribosomal RNA". It matches the Rfam family "Bacterial small subunit ribosomal RNA", at positions 30 to 507 of the family's 1533-position model. The record is from RNAcentral.